AUUAAAAUAGUUGGACCACACCUGUAUCAAUAGGUCAUGUUGAUAUUUUAAUAGUAUUGAUAUAUUUCUUUGUAUAAAUAAUUAUUGAACGAAGUUGUCAUGGUCUGGGAUGGCAAUCUAGUGCAUUUUCUAUGUGGUCUACAAGUCCAGUUCACCCUAGACUUAACCAGAGAUCAUAUUCACAGUGAGAUUCAAAGGUUAAACAUUAGUUUUGGACUU
This 219-nucleotide long non-coding RNA is filed under the name Brassica napus (rape). Its description in RNAcentral is "long non-coding RNA (BNAP_LNC022663)". Lineage: Eukaryota; Viridiplantae; Streptophyta; Magnoliopsida; Brassicales; Brassicaceae. The record is from RNAcentral.